AGCGAACGCUGGCGGCAGGCUUAACACAUGCAAGUCGAACGGUCCUUCGGGAUAGUGGCGGACGGGUGAGCAACACGCGGGAACGAAUCCUUAGUUUCGGAACAACACAGGGAAACUUGUGUUCAUACAGGAGAAGACCUUCGGGGGAAAGAUUUAUGGCGCUGGGGGCGGACCGCGUCUGAUUAGCUUGGUGGUGGGGUAAUGGCGCACCAAGGCUACGAUCAGUAGCUGGUCUGAGAGGAUGGCCAGCCACACUGGGACUGAGACACGGCCCAGACUCCUACGGGAGGCAGCAGUGGGGAAUCUUGCGCAAUGGGCGAAAGCCUGACGCAGCCAUGCCGCGUGAGUGAUGAAGGUCUUAGGAUUGUAAAAUCCUUUCACCGGGGACGAUAAUGACGGUACCCGGAGAAGAAGCCCCGGCUAACUUCGUGCCAGCCGCCGCCGUAA
RNAcentral lists this ribosomal RNA (447 nucleotides) under uncultured bacterium. RNAcentral describes it as "partial 16S ribosomal RNA". It matches the Rfam family "Bacterial small subunit ribosomal RNA", at positions 29 to 523 of the family's 1533-position model. The record is from RNAcentral.